RNAcentral lists this long non-coding RNA (9111 nucleotides) under Eucalyptus grandis. RNAcentral describes it as "long non-coding RNA (EGRA_LNC003282)". The record is from RNAcentral. Lineage: Eukaryota; Viridiplantae; Streptophyta; Magnoliopsida; Myrtales; Myrtaceae.
UCGAUCUAUUCAUCAAACUAGCUAAUCAUGAAUUCUUGCCUCACCAUCUGCCUCUCUCUCUCCUUCUUCAUCAAAAUUUUCGGUACUGGAACUGCCCCUAAUUACAUAUACAUGAUUGCCCAAACACCUCCCUCUUCAGCCCCAACUCCACCUACCAUUCCAACCUCCACACCCUCCUCUCUUCCCUUUCCUCCACCGCCACCCACAGCACUAGGGGUGAGCAUGGUCCGGGUUGGUCCGGGCCACCCCCUAACCCUAGGACCAACCCGUACAGUGUCGGUCCUCAAUUUUUAGGACCGAGGACCGACCCUAUUGAGCCUGGGACCAAGGACCAGACCAACCCAGUGGGUUCGGUCCGAUUCCAGGGUCAACCCGGGACCGAUCGAUAAUUUUUUUCGUCUUAUUUUUUUAUACUCCCUAAAAAAACAAACUUACAAAUUCAAAUUACACUUCUAUCAAUAAUGCGACAUUGUGCAACUAAACUAUAAAUACCAAUACAUAUUUAGCAAAUUUAAGAUGACACAAUAAUAGAAAUUUUGUACCUGCUAACCGCUCAUCGAGAUAUGGGACAAGAUGGAAAGUUCUUGUAAUCAUCUAUCUUUAAUAUUCAUAACAUCAUAUGCAAAAGCGUUUUCCUGCAUUUGAUCAUGUAGAGUCCACUCAACCAAAAAAUGAGCUUCACACCACUUGACUAGCAAAUCACCGUAGCAACUGCAGUACUACUCUACUCUUCAAAAACUUCUACCAUUUGACACAAAUUAAAAAGCAAAGUGCAGCUGAAAUUCAUUAGUAAAAUACAAUUAAACCAUAAAAAGUUCAAAAUACUUAAUAUAAACCAUGAAUAUAUAACUUCACAUCUUGUUAAUUCACUUGAACUUCUAAACAUCUGAAAACAAAACAAACGACACUUAAUUAAUACUUAACAAAAGUUUUAAAUUAAAAUUACUAUUAGUACUAUUGAUAAAACAUUUCAAUAUAAUAUAAUAUAACAGACAUUUUACUUAGGUUUGAAUAUAUAAGAGAAUUAUAAAUAAUAUAAUAUAAUAUAAUAUAUAGGGUUGGUCCAGGGUUGGACCGACCCAAAACUCUUAGGACCGAGAACCAACCCGCACAGUGUUGGUCCUGGAAUUUCAAGACCAAGGACCGACCCAGUCCCCUUGGGAACCGGACCAAGACCGGCAGGGUUGGGCCGGUCCAGGGUUGGUCUAGGGUCGACCCUAGACCGCUGCUCACCCCUACACAGCACCGACAGCUUCGCGUACGCUACUGCUGGCCAAAACCCUCCCGAUCGGGCCUACGGGCUCUUCCUUUGCCGUGGCGACCUUGACAUCGCCACUUGCAGCAUCUGCCUGGCCACUGGAAAGCAAGAGAUCCUCCAAAGAUGCCCCAACCGGCGGGUCUCUGUUAUCUGGUACAACGAGUGCAUGUUGCGGUACUCGAACCAGUCCAUCUUCUCAGACAUGGAGCAAUCGCCAUCUCCUCUUUUGUACGACGAGAACGUCAUGGACCCAAUCCGGUUCAUGCAGGUCCUAUUAGAAACCCUCAACAAUGUCGCGGUGAGGGCUUCAGCUGGUGGGUCAGGGAAGAAGGUCGCGGUGGCGGAGGCAAACAUCACGAGCAUGCAGAAGCUGUACGCACUUGCAUAGUGCACGCUGGACUUGACGGCAUCAGACUGUGGCACAUGCCUCCAGUUCAGUAUCGCUAAUCUACCUCAGGGGAAGCAAGGGGUAGCUUGCUCACUCCGAGCUGCAAUGUGAGGUACCAGCUCUAUGCCUUUUAUGACACCUCAGCUCUGCCGGCACCAGCACCAACAACAGCACCUCCACGUCCCGCUCCGUCGACUGGACCUAAAGGUAAAUGUGCGUUUGUAUUGCUUAUCUUCGUCUGUCCUAACUCUUUUCGCUUUAAUUGGAAUCAAGAUCUCGAUUUAGCGCGUAUCCACCAUGAGUAAUUAUAGAAUUUUUCCUAAAAUAAAAAGACGUGAUCGGUUGACUAAAGAUAUGAGGUGAUAUUGGAGGAUCAUAAAAACAAUUCCUCGUCAUAGUGCGCUUGUUGGUCCUGGGCUUUAGUUUAAGCGGGGACCCCGGUGUUUAUGCUGCAACAUUUCGUUAAGAAAACUGUGGCUGGGCUGGACAAAUAUUAUAAGUAUUUUUGACAAAAAAAAAAGGUUAUACUGAUAUUAUAAGUUCUUGAAAUUAAUGCUUCUUUCAAUUCUUUAAUGCUACAGAGUCAAGAUGAAAUACAUAUUAGGUAACAACUUUUUCUAAGGUGGAUAGCUCACUUAUAUGACUAUUGGUAAAGGUUGCUUUUAAUCAAUCAAUGGUUAAUCCCCCAAUAAACAAUCAAUGUGCUCACAUAGGUAUUAGGGAAAAAAUUUGCAUUUUUUCUAUGAAGGACAGAUUAUGAUUACAACUUAGGGUCCGUUUGUUUGAAGAAAAAUCAUUUUCGGGAGAUUGUUUUUCAACUUUUAAGUGUUUGGAUAAUGAAAACCUAGUCAAUCUAUGAUGAGCAUUUUCCAUGGACUGAAAACAAGAAAUUAGAUUGGGGUAAACGAUUUCACCUUCUGACAAGAAGGUAAACAUUUUUCUUGAUUUAUUGUUGCUGGUCAAAGUGAGAAGUAUAGGUCUCUAUAUGUCUAUUUCUUAUCUCUCAUCAUUUUUGCUAGUUCUUUUUCAAUAAGUCUCAUUUGUUUUGGUCAUUAAUUCUCAUAUUCUAUUACAUUCUCAAACAAACAUGAUCAUACAUAAUGUUUUACACAUAUGAUUCCAUAAUUCUUUCCUAAUAUCUUUUUAAUUUUUUAUGGAUUAAAAAAUAGAUAAAGACAUGUUGAUUCUAAUUUUUUAGUCGUUACAUGCCAUUUUUAACAAUACAAGCUGCCUUUAAUGGAUUUAUGAAGAUGAUAUAUCUGAAAUUCUCCUUAGGACGGAAAAUCCAUGUAAAUUUCCUCCUCUUAAUCAUUAUGGAAAAAGGCAUUGAGGACAUCUAGCGUGGGGACCAAUGACAGUAAAGCAACGAUGGAGAGAAAAGAAUGAAUAAUGACUUCCCUAGUUACUGAGGAAAAUUUUUCCUGAUAAUUCAAAACCUUUCCGCUUUGCGAAACCCUUGACAGUUAAUCAAGCUUUGUAAUGCUCAAUAGAACAAUAUGUCUUAUAUUUAAUCUUAUAGACCCAUUAUCACCUUGUUGAUUUGAUACUAGAGGACAGUUCGAGAAAUAAAAUAUUAAGAUGCAUCCACAUUGCAUUGCUAUGUGUUCAAGAGAACGUAUCGAGACAACCAUCCAUAUCAUGGGUGGUUUUAGUGUUGGUAAGCCAAAUGACGACCCUUCCAACACUGACAUAGAUUGUAUAUUUGACUUACACUGGUGGUAGAGAAGUGUCAACUACAUCUAUUAAUGGCUCAGCAGCGACAUCAAUAAAUGAAGCUUCGAUGAUGAAUCCACACCCUAGAUGAUAAAAUCACCAAAGGAUCAACGUUGAAUUUGGAAGACAAUGUGAGAUGUUGUUAAGAUAAAUUCAUGCUUUUGAAAAGUCUAAAUUCUAGGUAAGUUCAUUGGAAGUCUAACCGGAGAGUAUGUGGUGACAAGGUAGAAAAUAGAAUGGAAAUUCUAUUAUUGUUAGCAAUUAUAAUCUCUAGAAGAAGUGGUGGGCUGCUUGCACAAUGGAUAAUGGGUUUACUCUAACGUCUUCGAGGCCAAUUCACUAAUAGUAUAUGCAAGUUCAUCUAGAUUGGAGAAAACAGGAGAACGACAUCCUGAAAUUAGAGUGCACAGCCAAAGUUUAGUGGAAUUUGGAUUAUUAUAUUAGAACUUUUAUUAACACACAGAUUUUGGUAACUCAUUUAAUCAUUCCGUAAUUACAUAGAAAAUUACAGAUUAAUUUUUAACCCCUAGUAAAAUAAUUUUCAUUAAAUGGUACCACAUAUAGACAUUAGGUGGGCAUUUGCAUUACUAGUAUUAAAAUAAAUAUAUAUAUUAUUAUCAUUAUUAUUUUAUCUUAUUUUUAAAAUUAUUUUUUUUUAGAAAAAAAUGGUAGAAGCGAGACCGAGCCAGAGGCAGGCCGGCCCGGCCCUCUCUCUCUUCUCCUCUUCUCCUUCUCUCCUGGUUUUGGAGGAUGGCUAAACGACAAUAGAAGGGGACAGAGAGGACAGCAAGAGGCAGAGACAAAAAGGACAAGGGGGCUUGCCGAGAAAAGAGGAAGGAAUCAAGAGAGUGGGGGAGCGGAGAUUGAAGGAGGCCAUUGCUCGCCUGGAGAAGGAAGCAGGGAAGAAAACAAGAAAGAAAGAGAGCAUCAUUGGGAGCUGAAGGGGGCGAGGUUGAAUUGAGAGCGAGAGAGAGAGCCUCGGCCAACACCUCGGCCACACACGUGCUCCGUCCGACGACCUCUCCCGAUAAAUGUCCUCAAGCCCAAACCAGUAGGCCUUUGUUUUUUUUUUUUUUGGUAAAGACCAGUAGGCCUUUGUUCUUUCCCUCUAUUUGCUACUUUCAUGGGUACGCCGCGCCAGUGGUCGUGGCCGUUCGUGUUAAGAAUCAUAUCAAAGCAAAGUCUGCACAAGCACACUCUAUUGCUGUUUCAACAAAGAAAAGAGAUGAAGAUGCUGCUGCUGUAACAAAGACCAGAAGAAGUGAAGUGGGUGAAUCAUCGGCUAUGUCAGCUACGCGUAUGCAUGGUGUUGCUGAUUCGACUAGGAAGGAAAGAGAUGAAGUCGGUGGUGAAACUUCUAGCUCCACAUGUCCAACUAUGAGUGGAGCUCUCCUGUUACAGAACCGAUAUUCUGUUUUGUGCGUUUAACAGAUUGAGCAACAGAUUAACAACUAUGAUUCUUUUUACUUUCUUUUUCUGUUUUUCUGUUAGUUUGUUUUUUCUCCGUUAGAUGAACUGUAAAACUAUCUUUGGUUGUUCUUGAGAUCAGAUCAUGUAAUAUAAAUAGAGAACAAAGCAAGCGAGAUAGCAAGCUCUCAGAUGAAUGUUUUCCUUUAAUACAUAGAAGAAAGUCCAAAACUCUUUGUCUAUUAUCAUCAUUCUUCCUCUCAUUCUAUUCAUAAAUCUUCACAGUUCGCUCACGUGAGCUCCAGCCCCUGUAGGUCUUUAGCUAGGUCACUGCGUGUUACUCAUCAUUUGCUAAGGAUUUGUAGCCCGAGUUCCAGUCACGGUUGAGCUGGAAACCAAUUGUUCAAUGGCGCACACAAACCGCUUCAAGAAAUGCUUCGUCGAGAUCAAGUUUCGCUUUUACCCUUUUUGGCCAAAACCCAGCGUCCUUGUGUUGAUCCCCUGUUGAGGUGUCGUUUUUGUGAUUAGCAUUCCUGGGCGUUGGUUGUUCGAUCGUUUCACUGCCCCCACCACUGUCAUCGCUUAUGUGGUUCUGCGUUUCGUGCUUUGUGGCCGACAAUGGCUGUCCGAUGACAAGAGGAAAUCCGCGGAGAGGUCAGCCGGCGAGUGGUGGUUGUCGAAGUGGACAACCGAUGAAGGUGUAGCUCGUUGAAGAAGACCACCUAAGGAAGAAGACGUUCGGGGAAGAAGGCUUCAGGAAGGCAACAUGCAAAAGGGGAAGGGGCGAAAGUGAUUAGUUGAUUCAGCAGGUCUAGGCUCGUCUCUUCCUAAGGAUUUGGGUUUGGCCUGUUGUAUGGGUUUUGGGCAGGGCUCUUUUCUUUUGUUUUACCCUUUCUUUUUCAUGGGGUUGAGGGAUUGGGCCCGAUCGGUCGUGAUCCGGGUCGGAUGUCCGUUUUAUGCUAUAUUAUUUUAAUAUUAAUUUUUUUUAAUUAAUUAAUUAAUUUAAAAUUUUAAAAAAUUAAUAGAAAUAUUAAAAAUCAGAAAAAAUUUAUAAAUUUAGAAAAUACAGAAAAAUAAAAAAUAAAAAUUCAGAAAACCAUUAAAAUUCUGGAAAAUUCAAAAGUUCGUUAAAAAAAUUUAGAAAAUUCCAGAAAAAGAUAAAAAUUCCAAAAAAUUAGAACCCCUCCAGAAUGCUUGAAGAUAGUCCUUUAGGAUAGCCUUUUCUUAAAGUUAUGGGAAAAUCAUUAAUUUAGGAAAUUGCGCUAAAAAAUUGAACAAGCUCUUAUGGCCUUACCAUAGAGUUCGAAUUGUCCAUAAAGAAGAAUGCUCUUAAUUGCACACUUUAUAUAUGAUGAUUAUGGCUUCUCUUUUGCCUAGUUAGGAUUGAAAUUUAUUUAUUUCUUAGCAUUAAAUGCUUGCUUUCCCUUGUAAUUUAUUUAAUGCUUUAUUUAGUUGCUAAUUACUAUUUUAAUAAUUCCGCACUUGCAUAAUCAUCUCAUAUGUUAGUAAAUAGAUAUAAAAUCAUCCAGACCGUCUGACUAAAAUCUUCUUAAAAUAAACAAGAUUAAAUACAAAAAGGGCACUAAUUAAUUAUUAGUGUAAUUAAGUCUCUGAGCCUAAAUUCUCUACUUACAUAGAAAGUAAAAUAUACUUCCAUACUUCACUUAGUUUUCAGCUAAUCCCAAUAGGUUAAUGGCAACUCCUUAUGUAGAAUUCGUAUAGGAUUAAUUGAAUGAAAAUCAAAUGUCCAAUGUAAUGCAAGAUAUGGGUUUGUGAUCGACAAUUCUUUUAUGGUGUUAGCAAAUGAUGGUCCAUUCGAGAUUGUCAUUUGAAUGAAUCAUUCGACUCAUCUCAUAAGCAAGUACCUCUAAACCUAUUUUCUUCCCUAUUGAGUGGUAGGUCACAACAACUCUCUAUGAACCUAUAACUAGAAUUCAAUCAUUAUCCACAAGGUUUCUAACUUUUGACAUACGAUAUAAAGUUUCAAUAUAUCUUAAAAACUAAGAUUUUCACAUUAGUAACUUUCUCCAAAUAAAGCUUUCUAAGCUAGCUUAUUAGCCAUGUAUGGGAAAAUGUCGGAAAAAAUUAUACCAUAAGUGUCAUAACUUCCAUACGGUGUUUAUUCAAGUAGUACAACUUCUUCUUCUUUUUUUGAUAAUUUGAGUGUCAUAAUUUUUUUGACUAUUUAAAUGUCAUUUAACUUUUCAAUCGAUCAUUUGAGUGAUAUAACUUUUUGAUAACUUUCAUCAAUUGAAAGUUAUAACACAUAUAUAAGUGUUUUUUCUCUAAAAUUAUGAUACUCAAAUGAUCGAAGAAAAAGUUAUGACACUUAAAUGAUUAUUGCACAAAAAAUUUGACAUUUGUACAAUACUUAUCCUGAAAACAUUGGAAAUACAACGUAUAUAGCUUUGGCAUAACCCUACACUUUUAUCAUAAACUUAUUGUACUUUUGUCAAUUUAAUCUUAAAUCUUUCAAUUUUACCAAUUCAGUUCUGAACUUUUUAAUUUUGUCAAUUUAGUCCAUCUGGACACUUCCGGCCGAAAAUUGCUAACAUAGAUAGCCAGCACUGACAUGACACUUUUCUAAUAAUAUUUUAAUGUUAUUUUGAUUUUUUUUUUUACUUUUCUUUGCUUUUUUUUUAUUGCUUUUUUUGAUGAGGGUCGGCAAGGGCUCACGAACCUUCACCGCAACCCUCACCAAUUUUGGGUGAGGGCUCGCGAGUCCUCACUUUAGUCAGCAAGGGCGUCGCAGCCUUCAGCCAAAGUUAGUGAGGGGCAUGACACUCUCACCCAAGGGCGGCGAGGGUCAACCAGCCCUCACUUGUAGGUGGCAAAGGUCGUCAGCCUUUGCUGUAUUCCAUCCUCACAAUCCAUCUUAUUCUUCUGUCCACUUAUGAAUUUGAAUGGCCUAACACACUGAAAUUUGUGUCGCUUUAACUGUAUUUGACUUUAAGGAAAAUCUCCCACCGGUUUCUCUUGACUUGUCAUAAAUCUCUUUCGACCUUCCUGUAUAAAGAAAAAAGUAUAUUAUAGUUUUUCAUUAUUUAAAAUAUCAAUUUUUAUAUGGUUUAAAACGUUUAGAUAUGUCAUAUGGAAUAAAAUGUCAAAAUUUUAAACGUUCAAACCUUGAUCCUCGAAUUUCAAUUUGCAAUGGUGCGCCUUGUACUAACUUAUCAAAAACAAGAAAGAAAAUAGAAUUUGAAUGGCCUAACACACUGAAAUUCGUGUUGCUUUAACUGUAUUUGACUUUAGGGAAAAUCUCCCACCGGUUUCUCUUGACUUGUCAUAAAUCUCUUUUGACCUUCCUAUAUAAGGAAAAAAGUAUAUUAUAGUUUUUCAUUAUUUAAGAUAUCAAUUUCUAUAUGGUUUAAAACAUUUAGAUAUGUCAUAUGGAAUAAAAUGUCAAAAUUUUAAACGUUCAAACCUUGAUCCUCGAAUUUCAAUUUGCAAUGGUGCGCCUUGUAUUAACUUAUCAAAAACAAGAAAGAAAAUAGAUAAUUCACCCCUAAUCUUUCAGUUGUGCUAUUGAACCUAAUCUCAGUUGCAGUUUCAGUAUAACAAGUAUAUGAUGAUAAAAUUGCUCAAAUUUUGCUUUGGUAAACCCAAUCUAAUAAUCUAUACUAUGUAUCAUCCAUCACAUGUUGUUGUGUAGACUACGUGUGACAUGAGAAUUUAUUGUGUAGGCUUAGUCUAAUUUAUUUGGUUAAUCACAGAUUAAGAAAAAGUGAAACGAACGAACCUCACAUAAAAAAAUACAAAUUUUUACCACAUUUAGAAUGAGUCGAUAUAUUCUGAUACUUCUCUACAGUAUUAAUAAAAUAAAAUUUUGUUAUAUGAUGAUGUCCAAAUAAUUAGCUUAAUACCAUGAAUCCACUUAAACAGGACCUUGCUUGCAUAAAAGCCAAUAAAGGAUGAUAGUCUAAUCCCAUAUUUAGAUUGCAUUUUUUAUUGGUCAUGCUGCAAUUAUUCUUCAGACAUGACGGUCCACAUUUAUUUUAAUCCAUGCAUUUAGAUUCCCCGAAUAGUUCUCACCACAAAAAUAUCUUGGAAAGAGACCACAUGCUCUUCUUCCUACUAUUCUGUGUCCGUGCUGCAAGCUCGAUCUAUUCAUCAAGCCAGCCAAUCAUGAAUUCUUCCUCACCAUCUGCCUCUCUCUCUCCUUCUUCAUCAAAAUUUCGGUACUGAAGCUGCCCCUAAUUACAUAUAUCAUGAUUGCCCAAACACCUCCCUCUUCAACCCCAACUCCACCUACCGAUCCAACCUCCACACACUCCUCUCUUCCCUUUCCUCCGCUGCCACCCACAGCAUCGACGGCUUCGCGAACGCUACUGCUGGCCAAAACCCU